UUAAGCGACUAAGCGUACACGGUGGAUGCCCUGGCAGUCAGAGGCGAUGAAGGACGUGCUAAUCUGCGAAAAGCGUCGGUAAGGUGAUAUGAACCGUUAUAACCGGCGAUGUCCGAAUGGGGAAACCCAGUGCAAUUCGUUGCACUAUCGUUAACUGAAUACAUAGGUUAACGAGGCGAACCGGGGGAACUGAAACAUCUAAGUACCCCGAGGAAAAGAAAUCAACCGAGAUUCCCCCAGUAGCGGCGAGCGAACGGGGAGCAGCCCAGAGUCUGAAUCAGCUUGUGUGUUAGUGGAACGGUCUGGAAAGUCCGACGGUACAGGGUGAUAGUCCCGUACACCAAAAUGCACAGGCUGUGAACUCGAAGAGUAGGGCGGGACACGUGGUAUCCUGUCUGAAUAUGGGGGGACCAUCCUCCAAGGCUAAAUACUCCUGACUGACCGAUAGUGAACCAGUACCGUGAGGGAAAGGCGAAAAGAACCCCGGCGAGGGGAGUGAAAAAGAACCUGAAACCGUGUACGUACAAGCAGUGGGAGCACCUUCGGGUGUGACUGCGUACCUUUUGUAUAAUGGGUCAGCGACUUAUAUUCUGUAGCAAGGUUAACCGUAUAGGGGAGCCGCAGGGAAACCGAGUCUUAACUGGGCGUUAAGUUGCAGGGUAUAGACCCGAAACCCGGUGAUCUAGCCAUGGGCAGGUUGAAGGUUGGGUAACACUAACUGGAGGACCGAACCGACUAAUGUUGAAAAAUUAGCGGAUGACUUGUGGCUGGGGGUGAAAGGCCAAUCAAACCGGGAGAUAGCUGGUUCUCCCCGAAAGCUAUUUAGGUAGCGCCUCGUGAACUCAUCUUCGGGGGUAGAGCACUGUUUCGGCUAGGGGGUCAUCCCGACUUACCAACCCGAUGCAAACUACGAAUACCGAAGAAUGUUAUCACGGGAGACACACGGCGGGUGCUAACGUCCGUCGUGAAGAGGGAAACAACCCAGACCGCCAGCUAAGGUCCCAAAGUCAUGGUUAAGUGGGAAACGAUGUGGGAAGGCACAGACAGCCAGGAUGUUGGCUUAGAAGCAGCCAUCAUUUAAAGAAAGCGUAAUAGCUCACUGGUCGAGUCGGCCUGCGCGGAAGAUGUAACGGGGCUAAACCAUGCACCGAAGCUGCGGCAGCGACACUAUGUGUUGUUGGGUAGGGGAGCGUUCUGUAAGCCUGCGAAGGUGUGCUGUGAGGCAUGCUGGAGGUAUCAGAAGUGCGAAUGCUGACAUAAGUAACGAUAAAGCGGGUGAAAAGCCCGCUCGCCGGAAGACCAAGGGUUCCUGUCCAACGUUAAUCGGGGCAGGGUGAGUCGACCCCUAAGGCGAGGCCGAAAGGCGUAGUCGAUGGGAAACAGGUUAAUAUUCCUGUACUUGGUGUUACUGCGAAGGGGGGACGGAGAAGGCUAUGUUAGCCGGGCGACGGUUGUCCCGGUUUAAGCAUGUAGGCUGAUUAUCCAGGCAAAUCCGGAUAAUCAAGGCUGAGGUGUGAUGACGAGGCACUACGGUGCUGAAGUAACAAAUGCCCUGCUUCCAGGAAAAGCCUCUAAGCAUCAGGUAACAUCAAAUCGUACCCCAAACCGACACAGGUGGUCAGGUAGAGAAUACCAAGGCGCUUGAGAGAACUCGGGUGAAGGAACUAGGCAAAAUGGUGCCGUAACUUCGGGAGAAGGCACGCUGGUGUGUAGGUGAAGUCCCUGCGGAUGGAGCUGAGACCAGUCGAAGAUACCAGCUGGCUGCAACUGUUUAUUAAAAACACAGCACUGUGCAAACACGAAAGUGGACGUAUACGGUGUGACGCCUGCCCGGUGCCGGAAGGUUAAUUGAUGGGGUUAUCCGUAAGGAGAAGCUCUUGAUCGAAGCCCCGGUAAACGGCGGCCGUAACUAUAACGGUCCUAAGGUAGCGAAAUUCCUUGUCGGGUAAGUUCCGACCUGCACGAAUGGCGUAAUGAUGGCCAGGCUGUCUCCACCCGAGACUCAGUGAAAUUGAACUCGCUGUGAAGAUGCAGUGUACCCGCGGCAAGACGGAAAGACCCCGUGAACCUUUACUAUAGCUUGACACUGAACAUUGAGCCUUGAUGUGUAGGAUAGGUGGGAGGCUUUGAAGCGUGGACGCCAGUCUGCGUGGAGCCAACCUUGAAAUACCACCCUUUAAUGUUUGAUGUUCUAACGUUGGCCCCUGACCGGGGUUGCGGACAGUGUCUGGUGGGUAGUUUGACUGGGGCGGUCUCCUCCCAAAGCGUAACGGAGGAGCACGAAGGUUAGCUAAUCCUGGUCGGACAUCAGGAGGUUAGUGCAAUGGCAUAAGCUAGCUUGACUGCGAGCGUGACGGCGCGAGCAGGUGCGAAAGCAGGUCAUAGUGAUCCGGUGGUUCUGAAUGGAAGGGCCAUCGCUCAACGGAUAAAAGGUACUCCGGGGAUAACAGGCUGAUACCGCCCAAGAGUUCAUAUCGACGGCGGUGUUUGGCACCUCGAUGUCGGCUCAUCACAUCCUGGGGCUGAAGUAGGUCCCAAGGGUAUGGCUGUUCGCCAUUUAAAGUGGUACGCGAGCUGGGUUUAGAACGUCGUGAGACAGUUCGGUCCCUAUCUGCCGUGGGCGCUGGAGAAUUGAGGGGGGCUGCUCCUAGUACGAGAGGACCGGAGUGGACGCAUCACUGGUGUUCGGGUUGUCAUGCCAAUGGCACUGCCCGGUAGCUAAAUGCGGAAGAGAUAAGUGCUGAAAGCAUCUAAGCACGAAACUUGCCCCGAGAUGAGUUCUCCCUGAGACUUUAAGUCUCCUGAAGGAACGUUGAAGACGACGACGUUGAUAGGCCGGGUGUGUAAGCGCAGCGAUGCGUUGAGCUAACCGGUACUAAUGAACCGUGAGGCUUAACCUU
RNAcentral lists this ribosomal RNA (2900 nucleotides) under Klebsiella aerogenes. RNAcentral describes it as "23S ribosomal RNA". It matches the Rfam family "Bacterial large subunit ribosomal RNA". Lineage: Bacteria; Pseudomonadati; Pseudomonadota; Gammaproteobacteria; Enterobacterales; Enterobacteriaceae. The record is from RNAcentral.